RNAcentral lists this ribosomal RNA (497 nucleotides) under uncultured bacterium. RNAcentral's name for it is "partial 16S ribosomal RNA". It matches the Rfam family "Bacterial small subunit ribosomal RNA", at positions 28 to 507 of the family's 1533-position model. The record is from RNAcentral.
GAUGAACGCUGGCGGCAUGCCUAAUACAUGCAAGUCGAGCGAACAGAUGAGGAGCUUGCUCCUCUGACGUUAGCGGCGGACGGGUGAGUAACACGUGGAUAACCUACCUAUAAGACUCGGAUAACUUCGGGAAACCGGAGCUACUACCGGAUAAUAUAUCGAACCGCAUGGUUCAAUAGUGAAAGACGGUUUUGCUUUCACUUAUAGAAGGAUCCGCGCCGCAUUAGCUAGUUGGUAAGGUAACGGCUUACCAAGGCUACGAUGCGUAGCCGACCUGAGAGGGUGAACGGCCACACUGGAACUGAGACACGGUACAGACUCCUACAGGAGGCAGCAGUAGGGAAUCUUCCGCGAUGGGCGAAAGCCUGACGGAGCAACGCCGCGUGAGUGAUGAAGGUCUUCGGAUGGUAAAACUCUGUUAUUAGGGAAGAAGAAAUGUGUAAGUAACUAUGCACGUCUUGACGGUACCUAAAGAGAAAGCCACGGCUAACUUCGUG